RNAcentral lists this transfer RNA (77 nucleotides) under Amycolatopsis rifamycinica. Its description in RNAcentral is "tRNA-Gln". It matches the Rfam family "tRNA". From Rfam's summary of the family: Transfer RNA (tRNA) molecules are approximately 80 nucleotides in length. Their secondary structure includes four short double-helical elements and three loops (D, anti-codon, and T loops). The record is from RNAcentral. Lineage: Bacteria; Bacillati; Actinomycetota; Actinomycetes; Pseudonocardiales; Pseudonocardiaceae.
UCGGGAGUAGACAAAUUGGUAAAGUCGCCUGGUUUUGAUCCAGGAGUUUGAGGGUUCAAGUCCUUCCUUCCGGACCA